This is a long non-coding RNA of Dermochelys coriacea (leatherback sea turtle), 1001 nucleotides long. RefSeq lists it as uncharacterized. The transcript is spliced from 3 exons. Lineage: Eukaryota; Metazoa; Chordata; Testudines; Dermochelyidae. The record is from RefSeq and is a predicted model, not a curated record.
AAGAUCUCCCUGAGGGAAAGAGGCCUGAAGCCAGAUGUUCAUUUGAAUUCAUUUGUAAUGACUCAUCUCUUGUUGCUGAGGGAGACUGGUGCCUGUCAGAAACUCCUUAAUGGAAGAUUGGCCUGUACCAGGGACCCCAGAUGAGCAUUAGCUAGAAAAGACGGACUCACAGUAGAAAGGCAGUGUCUAGCUGUGGAUUGGGAUAGAGGACUCUCCUUUUUGAUUGAUAUAUUUGUUUUGGAACUUUGAUACUCCAAAAGGUGUAGAACUUUGGUGUGAUUUAACCAGAAGGCUUCAUCACCUCAGCAGUAGACCCCUUGCAGAUGGUUGAAGACUUUGAGGGAAACUGAAGCAGGAUUCACUUAUGAAAAAGCCGUCUAGAAAAGGCAAAGCUUGAAUAUGGAUGUACGGCUUGUGCUGCAAGGUGCAGGAUCAGUGGAGCUAUUCAUGAGCUUGAAGUUAAGGAAGUGCUUUGCUGGAUUGUCCCAGGGAGCUGAGACUCUUGCAGGAUCAAAGUGUGGGUGAUGAGACAAAGGCUUUUAGGGGUGCUCUGCUCACAGAUGUGCCUGCCUAUUUACCCUGAACUCUAUACCAGAAAACUAAACCUGAAGGAGCUUACAUAGGAGAAAAAUCAGACAAAUGAUCUGCAGAAAUACUGACGUUAAUGUUAUCAUUAGUAUAUUAAAAGACUACUUUCCCAUUAAAUGAUUUUUUGUUCUUUUCAUGACCACCUAAAUGACUAAAGGGUGAUAAUAACACUCAUUAUUUUAGGAGCACAUUUGCAUCCCUAAUGAAAGAGCUCCUAACGGGCACAAAAAACAGAAGCAAGUCUCUGAAUUAAUUAAAAUGGUUUGAUUGAUUAGAUAAAAAUGCAAACACAAACCACACACAAAGUUAAGAUUUUCUUUUAUCUUCAUUUGAAUUUUUUUUAAAGUGCCAUAAGCUUUUUGUUCUUUUCCCUGUAACAAUGGAACAUCAGAACACACAGUCGUAUCAGUAUA